ACGGCUACCACAUCUAAGGAAGGCAGCAGGCGCGUAAAUUACCCAAUCCUGACUCAGGGAGGUAGUGACAAGAAAUAGCAAACCGGGAACCUCAUGGUUUCACGGUAUUGCAAUGAGAACAAUUUAAAACCCUUAGCGAGAAUCAAGUGGAGGACAAGUCUGGUGCCAGCACCCGCGGUAAUUCCAGCUCCACUAGCGUAUAUUAAAGUUGUUGCAGUUAAAAAGCUCGUAGUUGAACCUCUGUCUGGGGCUAGUUUUGGCUUUGGUCAGGCUAGUUCUAGGCAUCCGCCUACAAGACUUAGAGGGCAUUCAGUUGUUCACUAGGAGGAGUAGGCAUUUUACUUUGAAAAAAUUAGAGUGUUUAAGGCAGGCAAUCGCCCGCAUAUAUUAGCAUGGAAUAAUAGAAUAGGACACUUUUCCAUUUCGUUGGUUAUUGGAAUCGUGUAAUGAUUAAUAGGGACAGUUGUGGGCAUUUGUAUUUAAUUGUCAGAGGUGAAAUUCUUGGAUUUAUUAAAGACAAACUAACGCGAAAGCAUUUGCCAAGGAUGUUUUCAUUAAUCAAGAACGAAAGUUAGGGGAUCAAAGACGAUCAGAUACCGUCCUAGUCUUAACUAUAAACUAUUCCGACUCAAUGUUUGACUGGCUUAUAUAACCAGUUGAGCGUUGUAUGAGAAAUCAAAGUCUUUAGGUUCUGGGGGGAGUAUGGUUGCAAAGCUGAAACUUAAAGGAAUUGACGGAAGAGCACAACCAGGAGUGGAUUCUGCGGCUUAAUUUGACUCAACACGGGGAAACUUACCAGGUUAAAACAAUAGUGGGAUUGACAGUUUGAGAGCGCUUUCUUGAUUGGUUGGGUGGUGGUGCAUGGCCGUUCUUAGUUGGUGGAGUGAUUUGUCUGCUUAAUUGCGUUAACGAACGAGACCUUAACCUGCUUACUAGACUGGCGAUCAUCAAUCGUUAGCUCUUCUUAGAGGGACUUUGGUUGUUUUAACUCCAAGGAAGUUUGAGGCAAUAACAGGUCUGUGAUGCCCUUAGAUAUCCUGGGCCGCACGCGUCAUACAAUGACUAGUUCAGAGAGUUUUCUCCUGACCCGAAAGGGGAUGGGUAAUCUUGAUAAUACUAGUCGUGUUAGGGAUCGAUCUUUGCAAUUAUAGAUCUUGAACGAGGAAUUCCUAGUAAGUGCGGUUCAUCAGACCGUACUGAUUACGUCCCUGCUCUUUGUACACACCGCCCGUCGCUUCUACCGAGUGGGUGGUCCGGUGAGAUAAUUGAACUUCGCAGGUAACUGAGAGGAAAGAUUAUCAAACCUAUCCACCUCGAGGAAGAAGAAGUCGUAACAAGGUU
RNAcentral lists this ribosomal RNA (1341 nucleotides) under metagenome. RNAcentral's name for it is "SSU rRNA". It matches the Rfam family "Eukaryotic small subunit ribosomal RNA", at positions 403 to 1801 of the family's 1831-position model. The record is from RNAcentral.